Molecule: transfer RNA, 85 nt
Filed under: Vibrio cholerae
Lineage: Bacteria; Pseudomonadati; Pseudomonadota; Gammaproteobacteria; Vibrionales; Vibrionaceae
Description: tRNA-Leu
Rfam family: tRNA
About the family: Transfer RNA (tRNA) molecules are approximately 80 nucleotides in length. Their secondary structure includes four short double-helical elements and three loops (D, anti-codon, and T loops). Further hydrogen bonds mediate the characteristic L-shaped molecular structure. tRNAs have two regions of fundamental functional importance: the anti-codon, which is responsible for specific mRNA codon recognition, and the 3' end, to which the tRNAs corresponding amino acid is attached (by aminoacyl-tRNA synthetases). tRNAs cope with the degeneracy of the genetic code in two manners: having more than one tRNA (with a specific anti-codon) for a particular amino acid; and 'wobble' base-pairing, i.e. permitting non-standard base-pairing at the 3rd anti-codon position.
Source: RNAcentral
GCGGAAGUGGCGGAAUUGGUAGACGCACCAGAUUUAGGUUCUGGCGCCGCGAGGCGUAAGAGUUCAAGUCUCUUCUUCCGCACCA